This 1080-nucleotide ribosomal RNA is filed under the name uncultured Rhizaria. Its description in RNAcentral is "SSU rRNA". It matches the Rfam family "Eukaryotic small subunit ribosomal RNA", at positions 577 to 1674 of the family's 1831-position model. The record is from RNAcentral.
CGGUAAUUCCCGCUCCAAUAGCGUAUACUAAAGUUGUUGCAGUUAAAAAGCUCGUAGUUGGAUUUCUGCGGGGACGGAGCGGCCGGACGCAACUUGCGUCUCGAGCUAGCGCUUUCCCCGCAUCCUGCCGCGAACCGUGCUACCAUUAGUUUGGUGGCGCUGGGGAUCGGCUCGAUUACUUUGAGAGAAAUAGAGUGUUCAAAGCAGGCCACACGCCUUGAAUAAGUUAGCAUGGAAUAAUGACUAAGGACUUUGGUUCUUUUCGUUGGUGUUCGGGACUGAAGUAAUGAUUGAUAGGGACAGUUGGGGCGGUCCGUAUUCCAAAGCGAGAGGUGAAAUUCUUAGACCUUCGGAAGACGAACAGCUGCGAAAGCGUUCCGCAAAGAUGUUCCCUUUGAUCAAGAACGAAAGUUGGGGGAUCGAAGACGAUCAGAUACCGUCGUAGUCUCAACUAUAAACUAUACCAGCUAGGGAUCGGCCAACGUUUAAUUAUUCGACUUGGUCGGCACCUUAUGAGAAAUCAAAGCAUCUGGGUUCCGGGGGGAGUAUGGUCGCAAGGCUGAAACUUAAAGGAAUUGACGGAAGGGCACCACCAGGCGUGGAGCCUGUGGCUUAAUUUGACUCAACACGGGAAAACUUACCAGGUCCAGACAUAGGAAGGGUUGACAGAUUGAUAGCUCUUUCUUGAUUCUGUGGGUGGUGGUGCAUGGCCGUUUUUAGUCGGUGAAGUGAUUUGUCUGCUUAAUUGCGUUAACGGACGAGACCCCAGCCUGCUAAAUAGCGCGGCCGAGCUUUGCUCGGUACGAGCUUCUUAGAGGGACCAUGAUGCGCGAUAGCACAAGGAAGUUUGGGGCAACAACAGGUCUGUGAUGCCCUUAGAUGUUCUGGGCCGCACACGGGCUACACUGGCGCCUGCAACGAGCAUAUCAGCUGGCCCGAGAGGGUCUUGGCUAAUCUUUGGAACCGGCGCCGUGCUUGGGAUUGACCAUUGCAAUUGUUGGUCAUGCAACGAGGAAUGCCUUGUAAACGCGAGUCAUCAGCUCGCAUUGAAUACGUCCCUGCCCCUUGUACACACCGCCC